This is a long non-coding RNA of Apodemus sylvaticus (European woodmouse), 2075 nucleotides long. RefSeq lists it as uncharacterized. The record is from RefSeq and is a predicted model, not a curated record. The transcript has 2 exons. Lineage: Eukaryota; Metazoa; Chordata; Mammalia; Rodentia; Muridae.
UUUACAUCUUUACAUUUACUAUCUUUCUCAUCCUCUGGGACUUUCUACUUAGGACUCUGUCACUUUUAGGGUACUGGUAUACAUAUGAAAUAAUUCUGGUAAUAUCUUUGCUAUGUAAACUUCCUAUCUGCCUAAAUGUGUAAAAUUGCAUCUCUAGUCCAUAUUUGUUUAAAGCAUAACCUCAAUGAGACGUUAAAAUGAAAGUAUAUAUGGAAAGCAAGUUUCUAGGCAGACUGCGCAUGCCCGGGCAGCAGACUGAUUGCAGUACCCUCCUCUAAGUCCCAUCUUCAAAACCCCUUCUUCUAUCAGUUUAAUUUUAAUUUAAAACUUUACUUAAUAUAUAUUUAAUUUUUAAUUUUGGGUGGAAGUUUCCAGGGGAAAGAGUAGAUGUGGUCAGACUAGAAAAGGAGUGUUACUGGGUGGCACGAUGAGAAAUUCACAGAGAAUCAAUAAAUACCAUAUGUUUUGAAAAGGAAAAAAGUUAGACAACCCAAAAAAGACAAUAACAAAAGAAGAAAAGAAAGCUAGGAUUCUCUUUAACAACUAGCUUCCAGAAAUAACGUCCACAGGAAGAAAGUCAUACUAGUAUUACUCAAAAAAGAGGAAGAUAGGCCAAGAAAUAGGUUCCUAAAUUUAGAAAGUGUCUUAAUUUAUUACUGUUGCUAUGAUAAAACACUGAUGAAAAGCAACCUACAGAGGACAGGUUAACACUUCACAAUAUACUCCUUGUUACAGUUAACUACUGAGGAAUGUCAGGGCCCAAACUGAAGCAAUGCAGGAAUCUAGAGGAAAGAACUGAAGCAGAGGCUAUGUAGGAGUGCUGCCUCAUGACCUGCACCUCAUACCUUCCUUUAUCUCAAUAUAGCUCAAGGGUGGCACCAUCCUGCAGAUCUUGUCCUUACAAACUCCAUUGUUAAUCAGGACAAUAUCCCAUAGACUUUCCUAGACAAUCGGCCAAUCUGGUGUUACAGUUUCUCAACUAAAAUUCCUCUUCUCACCAACUUGUCUUAUUCAUUUUCUAUUGCUUUAAUAAAGCACUGAGAUUAAAGCAGCUCAUAGAAUGAAAUACUUAUUUGGGAAUUAGAUAUCCAGAGAGAUUAAUGUCCUUCAUAGUCAUGACAGAGGAGCAUAGCUGCAGGAAGGUAGGACAACCAACAGGAAGCAGAGAGCUGGUGGCUCUCAUCUUAGGCAGCAAACACAAAGCACAGAGAGUACACUGCAAAUGGCACCUGCCUUCUGUGACCUUAAAUUUAAUCAAUGACAAACCUCCUAUGAGGAGGCCAAGCCAUUUCAACCACCCAAAAGUUGUCACAAAGAUGGUGUCAUAUAUUGUGAUGCCUGCAGUUACACGGCCAUCCCAUUCAAAGCAUCAAAAUAAAACUUUGCCUCUGUCCCCAAACCCCUGCAAAAAAAUCACCAAUUCAAGAAGCCUUGGAAGUCAUUGCUGUGAUUCACCAGUCAUUAUGGCAGCAUAUCAGUUCUGAAAUGUUACAUUGCUUUAGUAGUUUCCCCAUUCUUUGCAAUAUAUAUGAAAUUUUAACUAGGUUAAGUUAGUUGCAAAGAACUUAGAGUCUCCAUUUCAGACAUAGACUUCAUUUCACAGUUUCAUAUCUGCUUGUAGUUACUGCUACUUUCCUUAUCAUUUUGGAUAUCAAUUUUUUAUUAUCCAAUCUUUUUUUGGCCAUGUGGUGUUACAGAUAUCUAUCAUACAUAUCAUGAUUGACAACUGUGUAGAUAUAUUUGGAUAGAAUAACAAUAUCGUUGUGACCAUAACCAAAAGAGGUCAGAUGACAUAAAGACAUCAGUAAAUACUGCUGCAGGGGAAAAUGAAACAACUUCAACAUAUAUCUUUUCACAAUGGAAAUUUCCUCAUGACUGAAGAAGUUGCUGGUCAUUUUAUUUCAGUGUUCCCUUCUACCUCCCUCUUAACCACAGCAGAAGAGAUUAUUAUGAGAAACAACUUCAGUUUUAUAUUUAACCAUAUUGUUACAUAGUUUCACUCACUAUAUUUAUUUUAUGUUGUGUAUUACACAUUCUUAUCUAUUAAUAUUAAUAAAUGGUAUUAAAUUAUGUUA